Molecule: ribosomal RNA, 396 nt
Filed under: uncultured bacterium
Lineage: Bacteria
Description: partial 16S ribosomal RNA
Rfam family: Bacterial small subunit ribosomal RNA
Source: RNAcentral
AUACGUAGGGGGCGAGCGUUGUCCGGAAUGAUUGGGCGUAAAGGGCGCGUAGGCGGCCCGGUAAGUCUGGAGUGAAAGUCCUGCUUUUAAGGUGGGAAUUGCUUUGGAUACUGUCGGGCUUGAGUGCAGGAGAGGUAAGUGGAAUUCCCAGUGUAGCGGUGAAAUGCGUAGAGAUUGGGAGGAACACCAGUGGCGAAGGCGACUUACUGGACUGUAACUGACGAUGAGGCGCGAAAGUGUGGGAGCAAACAGGAUUAGAUACCCUGGUAGUCCACACUGUAAACGAUGAAUGCUAGGUGUAGGGGGUAUCGACCCCUUCUGUGCCGCAGUUAACACAAUAAGCAUUCCGCCUGGGGAGUACGGCCGCAAGGUUGAAACUCAAAUGAAUUGACAGGG